CUACGGGGGGCUCCAGUGGGGAAUAUUGGACAAUGGGCGCAAGCCUGAUCCAGCAAUGCCGCGUGAGUGAAGACGGCCUUAGGGUUGUAAAACUCUUUCGCUAGGGAAGAUAAUGACUGUACCUAGUAAAGAAGUCCCGGCUAACUCCGUGCCAGCAGCCGCGGUAAUACGGAGGGGACUAGCGUUGUUCGGAAUUACUGGGCGUAAAGAGUUCGUAGGCGGACUGACAAGUUAGAGAUGAAAUCCCAGGGCUCCACCCUGGAACUGCCUUUAAAACUGUCAGUCUAGAGACCGGAAGAGGUUAGGGGAAUACCUAGUGUAGAGGUGAAAUUCGUGGAUAUUAGGUGGAACACCAGUGGCGAAGGCGCCUAACUGGUCCGGUACUGACGCUGAGGAACGAAAGCGUGGGGAGCAAACAGGAUUAGAUACCCUAGUAGUC
RNAcentral lists this ribosomal RNA (439 nucleotides) under uncultured bacterium. RNAcentral describes it as "partial 16S ribosomal RNA". It matches the Rfam family "Bacterial small subunit ribosomal RNA", at positions 339 to 795 of the family's 1533-position model. The record is from RNAcentral.